UAGUCCACGCCGUAAACGAUGUCUACUAGCCGUUGGGGUACUUGAGACCUUAGUGGCGCAGCUAACGCACUAAGUAGACCGCCUGGGGAGUACGGCCGCAAGGUUAAAACUCAAAUGAAUUGACGGGGGCCCGCACAAGCGGUGGAGCAUGUGGUUUAAUUCGAUGCAACGCGAAGAACCUUACCAGGUCUUGACAUCCUGAGAAUCCUCUAGAGAUAGAGGAGUGCCUUCGGGAAUUCAGUGACAGGUGCUGCAUGGCUGUCGUCAGCUCGUGUCGUGAGAUGUUGGGUUAAGUCCCGUAACGAGCGCAACCCUUAUUUCUAGUUGCCAUUUGGAACUCUAGAAAGACUGUCGGUUAUAAACCGGAGGAAGGCGGGGAUGACGUCAAGUCAGCAUGCCCCUUAUGCCCUGGGCUACACACGUGCUACAAUGGACGAGACAAUGAGUUACAAAUCUGCGAAGAUAAGUUAAUCUAUAAACUCGUUCUAAGUUCGGA
Molecule: ribosomal RNA, 496 nt
Filed under: uncultured bacterium
Lineage: Bacteria
Description: bacterial SSU rRNA
Rfam family: Bacterial small subunit ribosomal RNA
Source: RNAcentral